CCGGCUCCGCCCCCAGCCCGGAGCUAUCGCGAGAGGGCCGGCGUUCUCGCGAGCUCCGCGCUGUUCGCCGGCGCCGACGCGGGGCACGUGACGCAGGAGCCAGGCCGGGGCCUCCAUGUUGGUUGUGGGCAGAGGCGGCCCGGGCGGGGUUGCCAUGGGGACGGGGCGGCCUGUCCCAGGGCUGCGAAGGGCCAGGCCAGGCCCCUGCCCAAGGUACCGAGCUGCCCCCCAGGCCCAGGUGCCAAACCCAUCCCGCAGGCCUGGGCCCAGCCAGCACCCCUGGAGCCAAACCCCAUGACCGCACCUGUGCUCUGCUGGGUUACAGGCCGCGCGGGAAAUCCAGCAGCCAAGGGCCCGUGAACCCCACCCCCGGGGCUGGCAGCCUCAAGUGUUCACAAAUCACACCCCUGGCUUCAAAACGGACUAGAACGGUGCGGCCCCAUUGCUGGGCGUGGGCAUGUGUCUUUUAGUUGGGUUCUGAACCUCUAGGCCGCAUCCACUUUUCUCUGCAACCGCGAGGGACAGGAAAUGACCUGACCAGAGCGGGGAGUCGCUGACGGCCAUGCCUCCAGGACCUGGAGCUUUGAGACAGGUGUCAAAUAUCACAGCACUUGUGGUAAAACUCUGAAAGUUGGCAACACUGAAAUUCCCCAACACAAGGGGUAAUGUCAAAUAAAACCCACACCGAAUCCUCAAGAGAGAAUCAGUCACCCAGCGGGAAAGGUUAUAACACAAAGAAAGCGAAGUGCCACAGGAGAACAGAAACAGAAGGAAAACAGCAUCAAAGGUUGCAGGAUCUUAACAAUAUGCCACUCUUCAAUGCCCCAGAGAACUUCAGCUUUGAGAAAUCUUCACAGUGGACAGCCUGGAAGCAGGAUUUUGCAAGAUUUCAAAUGGCAAACAAGCUUUACAAAGACACUGGAGAUAUACAGGUAUCAUCCGUAAUUUAUGCUAUAGGGAAGUAGGCAGAGGAUAUCUUUAAAUUCUUUGACUUUUCUGAAGCCAGUCACAAAGAGGACUAUGAAAGGGUUCUGGUUAUGUUUGAUGCCUACUUUAUACCCCAGAGAAAUGUGGUUUAUGUUUUCAGCAGAAAAUUUAAGAACGAGGGGAAAACGUUGAAUGUUUUAUAAGAGCUCUGCGUGCAUUGGCUGAAAACUAUGAUUUUGGAAAUUGUGAAACACAAAAAUCUUUCACAGCAGCUACAGUUGAAUCAUAGAAUCUCAGGGUUGGAAGGGACCUCAGGAGGUCACCUAGUCCCACCCCCUGCUCAAAGCAGGACCAAUCCCCAACUAAGGCCGAAGACAGCCUUAAGUCUAGCUACUCCUAUAUAGACAGCUGCAGCUGUGCUACUGUACUGCUUUCAUGCAGACACUAUCUAUGCCAAUGGGAGGGGUACUCCCCUCAGUGUAGGUAAUCCAUCUCCCCCAGAGGCAGUAACUGUCUACAGUUGGGGUCAGGUCAGCUUAACUACAUUGCUCAGGCUGUGGGUUUUUCACAGCCCUAAGUGACGUAACUGAGCCCACCUAAUUUUUUAGUGUAGACCAGGCCUAGCUUAGAAGCUGUUAUCAGAGGCAGCAUGAAUGCUAGAAAUCAUUGUCAUAAAACCUCUAAGGCAAGGUGUAACAUUAUUGACGUGAACUGGGACAGUAUAGAUCAUUGGUACAACCAAGGUUCUGUAGUGGUACCAAAUCUUGUAUAAAGGGGGUCAAAUAAGGUGUCUAAGACAAGGUUAUGUUUGCUGGUUAUGAUUAUGCUACCUGUGUGCAUGGAUCAUUUUUGUAUUUAAAGUUAUAAGUAUUGGCUCUAGACUGUCUGUAUUUCAAACUUGUGCUAUGCUUUUGGGUGACACCCCAGACAAGUUGGUGUCAGCUCUGCCUAGCCUGCUUAAUGGCCCAUUAAGAACCAUCAGCCAUACAACUGACCCAUUGAGAGAAGGCAGAUACACCUUGUGACUCAGCAAGGUAUGCAGGGACAUGCCUACGAGGUAUGCAGGGACAUGCCUACGGACAGAACUCUGAAGUUCUUUCAUGCCAUGUGCUGGGCAGCUUGUCUUUGGAACAAAGGAAGAAAGACCACAAGGCAAGAGACUGUAAAAGUCUGCUGCAGCUCCUCCAUCUUGUCUUCAGUCCUGCUUCUUGCCUCUGGAGGGACUUUGCUACAAACGGAAGCUCUGAACAAAGGACUGAAUGACCCAUCCCAGCUGGGGAUGUUCCAGAG
Molecule: long non-coding RNA, 2217 nt
Organism: Chrysemys picta bellii (western painted turtle)
Lineage: Eukaryota; Metazoa; Chordata; Testudines; Emydidae
Source: RefSeq, a predicted model, not a curated record